AAUGGAGCACAUUGGCUGGAUUGAUAGGCUGCUGAAUUGGCGCGCUGAAAUUUAGGAGGGUAGACAGUACCUGUGUGGUGGAGAUAACAGUCAAGUUCUCUUAUUUGCUGCAGACUGGAAUUGGUUUGGAUCCAUAACUCUCUGGAGAAAACAGACAGACAGCUGCCGACGGCAGACCCGAGAUGAGGCCGUUUGGACUGCAUUCCAAAUCAGAAACGACAGCAGGGACAAAUAUAUCCAUCCCAAAUGUUCUCAGCAGAAUGUGAAGGAAAGCGCAGACUGUACGCUCUCAACCAAGACCCACGCCAGCAGCUGUGACCACGAGGAGCUCCAGAAGAAUACAGAACACAAGAACAAGCAGGUGCAUGCUGACAGAAGAAGAGUUACAGACUGAGACACAUCCACAGUUUCCAGACAAGACUGAGAGAAACUAGCUUCAGGUAUUUUGAUUCCUCACCUGGGAAUGGAUCACCUAUGCAUCAUCAGGUUUCCUAGUUCCUAUUUCCGUCUCCAUGGUCACGUUGCAGUCUGAGAAUGAGAACAAUGUAUAAUUGAAGCACCCAAUCUGUGACCUGUUGUUUCGGACCUGAUUUAGGAUCACUAUUGCUUAUGUAUUUUAUUUGAGUCACACCACAGAUUGGAAUCUGUUUGCUUGAUAAAAGAUUAAUUUAUGUUUAAUCUUAAA
Molecule: long non-coding RNA, 685 nt
Organism: Misgurnus anguillicaudatus (oriental weatherfish)
Lineage: Eukaryota; Metazoa; Chordata; Actinopteri; Cypriniformes; Cobitidae
Source: RefSeq, a predicted model, not a curated record